UAGUUAAAAUGGACGGCAACAACAACCAUUUCUUGCUAUAAAAGAGACAGUUCUGGACCACAAUAGGGGAAGGGGGAGGACGGCAAGAAAAAGAAGGGACAAUAGUUUCACCCCAAUCCCAUUACAUCCACAAUAUACAAAAGAAAAGGGAUAAAAAUAAACAAAAUAAUACAAAGUGCUUCCAAUAGAAACUUCGAGAAUCCAUCGUCAAAGCUUCCAAAUUCUCAAACACUUGGAGCAAGCAACCAGGAAAUCUUGUACAAACUAUCAAGGAAGAAGAGAAAAAAAUCAAUUUUCUUCUUUUAAAAGAAGAUCCGUAUUUCCAAACGAAGCUCUUCCUAAUUCUCAAUCAUUCACAUACCAUUCAUAUCCUGUUUCAAUACGUGUCAAUAUGUCUGCUAUGCUUGUAAUGCUAUAGUGUCUAUUUUACUACCAUUUACGUCGCUUCUAAUCUAAUAUUCACAACAACUAUCAACUAAAUAACCUACUUAAGUAAAUGAUGAACUAACAAAGUCACAAGUAAAAAAUGAAGCUUCUUCGCUAAUGAAAGGUUGCUGAAAAUAUAUUGACAAUGGCCUAAAACAUACCAAAUCUCCCUCAUUAAACAAAAUUAGCAGCAAGGAUUCAAAAAUAACAUAAAGACUUUGAAUAUGACAUCAACAUCAAGCAAAACUAUGAGUUCUUUGUUAAAAUAUUGCUGGAAUUUUAUUAAAAAUGUCAAAUAAUCAAGGUUUUCAAAUGAAUAAACCGCUUCCAUUAUGUCAAAGUUGCUAGAUUUACUCUGUAAUUGAAAUAAACUACUAUUCUUUCAUUUUAUAACAUUUCGACAAUACAAAAAAGGGGUGUAAAAGCCUUUGUUUUUUUGCAUUCGUUGGCUUAAAAAAUCGAAAUAAUUUUCAAUUCUGAGUUUACCUUCUCGAGUUCCGUUUUCUCCUCCUCGUUCCUAGGCCUUCUUUCCCGAGCAAGGCAGAGGCUAAUUUCAUUACCUGAAAUAAACCUAAAAAAUUAGUCUCUUUCCUUUCUUUUUUUGAAGUAAUUAACUAAGAAAAUAAACAGAGUUUUUACCUUACUCCCCUUCCCUUCGUUUGUCUCUUCUCCAGUCGCUGGUCGUCAUCGACGAUGAAGUCCCAUCCUCUUUUCCCUCAACCGAUUCCAAACCCAAAAAAAUAGACAAAACAAGACAAUAAAAAAUAAGAAAAAGUAAGAGUCAAAAAGAGGAAUAAGCAUCUAUCAAACCAUACAUUUGUAUAUUGGGGUUGCAUGUUGUUGGAGGACUCAACGGAGGCAUCCUCCGAUGACAUGCAGACCCGAAUCCGGUUAAAGUCAAAGUAAUAGAGGGGUAGUGAGGCGGAUCCGAUUGUUUUAUCUUUGUUUUCUCUUAUUCGUCGUUGUUGCCAAGAAGACCGGGGAAGGUCGAGGUCACGUCCCGUUGUUACCGUUGUGACCGGAGAAGCAGAACACAGAGGAGGGUGAGAGGGAAGCAGAGAGGGGAAGAGAAGAGAAAAGAGAGGAAGAAGAUGAAAAAGAGGGAGAAAAAAAGAGAGAGAAAAGAGAGGAAGA
RNAcentral lists this long non-coding RNA (1560 nucleotides) under Linum usitatissimum (flax). RNAcentral describes it as "long non-coding RNA (LUSI_LNC005608)". Lineage: Eukaryota; Viridiplantae; Streptophyta; Magnoliopsida; Malpighiales; Linaceae. The record is from RNAcentral.